AACGCGAAGAACCUUACCUGGGUUUGACAUGCACAGGACGCCGGUAGAGAUAUCGGUUCCCUUGUGGCCUGUGUGCAGGUGGUGCAUGGCUGUCGUCAGCUCGUGUCGUGAGAUGUUGGGUUAAGUCCCGCAACGAGCGCAACCCUUGUCUCAUGUUGCCAGCGCGUUAUGGCGGGGACUCGUGAGAGACUGCCGGGGUCAACUCGGAGGAAGGUGGGGAUGACGUCAAGUCAUCAUGCCCCUUAUGUCCAGGGCUUCACACAUGCUACAAUGGCCGGUACAAAGGGCUGCGAUGCCGUGAGGCUUAGCGAAUCCUUGAAAGCCGGUCUCAGUUCGGAUCGGGGUCUGCAACUCGACCCCGUGAAGUCGGAGUCGCUAGUAAUCGCAGAUCAGCACG
This 397-nucleotide ribosomal RNA is filed under the name uncultured Mycobacterium sp. RNAcentral's name for it is "bacterial SSU rRNA". It matches the Rfam family "Bacterial small subunit ribosomal RNA", at positions 958 to 1356 of the family's 1533-position model. The record is from RNAcentral. Lineage: Bacteria; Bacillati; Actinomycetota; Actinomycetes; Mycobacteriales; Mycobacteriaceae.